CCAUGUUGGUAGGAUUCGAACCUGCACGGGAAGCCCCAAUGGAUUUCAGGGUCAUCGCCUUGACCACUCGGCCGACUGCUCG
Araneus ventricosus is the source of this 82-nucleotide non-coding RNA. The record is from the annotation of a GenBank genome assembly. Lineage: Eukaryota; Metazoa; Arthropoda; Arachnida; Araneae; Araneidae.